Molecule: ribosomal RNA, 465 nt
Filed under: Vreelandella stevensii
Lineage: Bacteria; Pseudomonadati; Pseudomonadota; Gammaproteobacteria; Oceanospirillales; Halomonadaceae
Description: partial 16S ribosomal RNA
Rfam family: Bacterial small subunit ribosomal RNA
Source: RNAcentral
CCUACGGGGAGCAGCAGUGGGGAAUAUUGGACAAUGGGCGAAAGCCUGAUCCAGCCAUGCCGCGUGUGUGAAGAAGGCCUUCGGGUUGUAAAGCACUUUCAGUGGGGAAGAAAGCCUUGGGGCUAAUACCCUCGAGGAAGGACAUCACCCACAGAAGAAGUACCGGCUAACUCCGUGCCAGCAGCCGCGGUAAUACGGAGGGUGCGAGCGUUAAUCGGAAUUACUGGGCGUAAAGCGCGCGUAGGCGGUCUGAUAAGCCGGUUGUGAAAGCCCCGGGCUCAACCUGGGAACGGCAUCCGGAACUGUCAGGCUAGAGUGCAGGAGAGGAAGGUAGAAUUCCCGGUGUAGCGGUGAAAUGCGUAGAGAUCGGGAGGAAUACCAGUGGCGAAGGCGGCCUUCUGGACUGACACUGACGCUGAGGUGCGAAAGCGUGGGUAGCAAACAGGAUUAGAUACCCGAGUAGUC